GAUAUAGAGUUGUCUGUAUCAGAGAUUGCUGCACAGCUCCUCACAAACCCACCUCCAGGAAGUAUUGCUAGUUCAACCCCAUACACUGAACUUGUCAAGGAUCCUGAAAACGAAGCAAAGGUGGUUGAUCAUAUUAAAGGAU
Long non-coding RNA from Eurytemora carolleeae, 142 nucleotides. RefSeq lists it as uncharacterized. NCBI's taxonomy places the organism in Eukaryota, Metazoa, Arthropoda, Copepoda, Calanoida, Temoridae. The record is from RefSeq and is a predicted model, not a curated record. The transcript has 3 exons.